AACGAACGCUGGCGGCAUGCCUAACACAUGCAAGUCGAACGAGACCUUCGGGUCUAGUGGCGCACGGGUGCGUAACGCGUGGGAACCUGCCCUUAGGUUCGGAAUAACUCCCCGAAAGGGGUGCUAAUACCGGAUAAUGUCUUCGGACCAAAGAUUUAUCGCCUUUGGAUGGGCCCGCGUUGGAUUAGCUAGUUGGUAGGGUAAAAGCCUACCAAGGCGACGAUCCAUAGCUGGUCUGAGAGGAUGAUCAGCCACACUGGGACUGAGACACGGCCCAGACUCCUACGGGAGGCAGCAGUGGGGAAUAUUGGACAAUGGGCGAAAGCCUGAUCCAGCAAUGCCGCGUGAGUGAUGAAGGCCUUAGGGUUGUAAAGCUCUUUUACCCGGGAUGAUAAUCACAGUACCGGGAGAAUAAGCUCCGGCUAACUCCGUG
This 433-nucleotide ribosomal RNA is filed under the name uncultured bacterium. Its description in RNAcentral is "partial 16S ribosomal RNA". It matches the Rfam family "Bacterial small subunit ribosomal RNA", at positions 29 to 507 of the family's 1533-position model. The record is from RNAcentral.